RNAcentral lists this ribosomal RNA (505 nucleotides) under Oeneis norna (Norse grayling). RNAcentral describes it as "partial 16S rRNA". The record is from RNAcentral. Lineage: Eukaryota; Metazoa; Arthropoda; Insecta; Lepidoptera; Nymphalidae.
AGAUUUUAAUGAUCGAACAGAUCAAAAUUUUAAACUUUUGCAUUUAAAUUUUAUCUUAAUCCAACAUCGAGGUCGCAAACUUUUUUUUUUAUUUGAGCUAAAAAAAAAUAUUACGCUGUUAUCCCUAAGGUAAUUUUUUCUUAUAAUCAUUAUUAAUGGAUCAUUUAAUCAUUUAUUUAUGUUUAAUUUUUAAAAAAAGUUAAUUUAAUUUUUCUAUCACCCCAAUAUAAUAAUUAAUUUUAUUUCAAUAAAAAUUUUUAUAUAAUUUUAAAAUAAAAAUAAAUAUAAAACUCUAUAGGGUCUUCUCGUCUUUUAAAAUUAAUUUAGCUUUUUAACUAAAAAAUAAACUUCUAAAAAUAAAUAAGAGACAGUUUAUAUUUCAUCAAAUCUUUCAUACAAGUUUUCAAUUAAAAAACUAGUGAUUAUGCUACCUUUGUACAGUCAUUAUACUGCAGCCCUUUAAUUAUUAUCAGUGGGCAGAUUAGACCUUAAAUUAUAUUCAAAA